AUAAAUGAACAAUGGCAUCUUCUAUUGGAGAUAAGAACAUGGAAAAGAUGCAAGAACGAAAAACAAAUAGAGUUUCAAGUGGAUUCAGAAGGAGGUACUGUACACAUUGACGAAAAUUCUCAAGUUACAACAAAAUGCACCCAGAAGAGAACCAAGUUUACUCAUCAACAUUACAUUAUUUUAUUUAUUUAUUUUCUUCGUAACGUGUAACGACUUACAAAGUACAUGUACUUAGGUUCAAUCACAAUUCUGUAUUAUGAAUGGCUCCCACAUGAGGGGGAUUUUUGUUGUAUACUUUCAAACCAUUCAAUUCAAUCAAUCGAUUUAUUAUUAUCUGUGAAAACAAUAAACUCAACCCUAUCGUCUCUGCUUUUGUUUGGGCGUCAUUAAAAUGCACAAGGUGAGAUGCAGGGGAGUCGCAUUGUGUAUUCCUUUUUCAACACACAUUAUCUUGUACCUACAAACAGACAUACUACUAUGUUGGAUUGAAGACUCAACGAUAAAAUCGAUAACAGACUAAAAUUUUAGGAAGAAGAAACAUAAAAGAACUUACCGUCUUUCAACAAUUGUCGCAUUUCCUUGGUUCUCUGGAAAUUGAUAUCCUCCAAUAAUUGCUGCAAUGGUGUUUGAGCUUUUAGCAAGGAUCCACUGGCCAACGCCAUUUUUUAGGAGUUUUCCUUCUUAUUUCGAAUUAUUGUAAUACAAAAAAAAGAGUUAUGGAAUAAGUUAAGACUUCUUCGCAGAGCAAAUGAGUUUUCCGUUUUAGAAUUGGAAUUUCGUAAGAUGAGUUAUUUAUUUAUUCACCACAGAAUUGUUGUAAAAAAAAAACUAUUUGUACUUUUUUUCGUAGACAUUUUUUAUCUACAUGAAUCUUAAAAAAUAAACUUGUUCACUUCUUUUUUAAA
Long non-coding RNA from Eupeodes corollae, 905 nucleotides. RefSeq lists it as uncharacterized. NCBI's taxonomy places the organism in Eukaryota, Metazoa, Arthropoda, Insecta, Diptera, Syrphidae. The transcript has 2 exons. The record is from RefSeq and is a predicted model, not a curated record.